This 240-nucleotide ribosomal RNA is filed under the name uncultured Lactobacillus sp. RNAcentral's name for it is "partial 16S ribosomal RNA". It matches the Rfam family "Bacterial small subunit ribosomal RNA", at positions 122 to 355 of the family's 1533-position model. The record is from RNAcentral. Lineage: Bacteria; Bacillati; Bacillota; Bacilli; Lactobacillales; Lactobacillaceae.
UAACCUGCCCAAGAGAUCGGGAUAACACCUGGAAACAGAUGCUAAUACCGGAUGACAACAGAUGAUGCCUAUCAACUGUUUAAAAGAUGGUUCUGCUAUCACUCUUGGAUGGACCUGCGGUGCAUUAGCUAGUUGGUAGGGUAACGGCCUACCAAGGCGAUGAUGCAUAGCCGAGUUGAGAGACUGAUCGGCCACAUUGGGACUGAGACACGGCCCAAACUCCUACGGGAGGCAGCAGUA